RNAcentral lists this ribosomal RNA (404 nucleotides) under uncultured bacterium. RNAcentral describes it as "partial 16S ribosomal RNA". It matches the Rfam family "Bacterial small subunit ribosomal RNA", at positions 355 to 751 of the family's 1533-position model. The record is from RNAcentral.
UGGGGAAUAUUGCACAAUGGGCGCAAGCCUGAUGCAGCCAUGCCGCGUGUGUGAAGAAGGCCUUCGGGUUGUAAAGCACUUUCAGCGAGGAGGAAGGUGUGAACUUAAUACGUUCAUCAAUUGACGUUACUCGCAGAAGAAGCACCGGCUAACUCCGUGCCAGCAGCCGCGGUAAUACGGAGGGUGCAAGCGUUAAUCGGAAUUACUGGGCGUAAAGCGCACGCAGGCGGUUUGUUAAGUCAGAUGUGAAAUCCCCGGGCUCAACUGGGAACUGCAUUUGAAACUGGCAAGCUAGAGUCUCGUAGAGGGGGGCUAGGAAUUCCAGGUGUAGCGGUGAAAUGCGUAGAGAUCUGGAGGAAUACCGGUGGCGAAGGCGGCCCCCUGGACGAAGACUGACGCUCAGG